UGAGAGCGGCUGGAAGGCGGUGCUGUUGAAAACAUCAUGUCAAACUGCUCCAUAAAAGAAGUAAACUUUGACUGUCAAGUGCAUUCCUACAGAGAUUUACUGAGUAAAGGAUCUCAUGAGCAAUCCAGAGGAAGGGUUCUAGGUUUCCUUCCUGAAGGUUCCUCACAGGCCACAUCCAGAGACGGACCAGCCAGCAUCCAUGCAGUAAGCACGUAUCUGUGCUUCUUCCGCAUGAACAUGGCAUGUGAUAUUCUAGAACCUGGUUUGCCUACACAAGGAAGAGCCCUCGCUAGAUGAGCAACCACCCAGAAGGCAGGUAUUCCUGGGCCUCAAGAAGGAUGAGUCUUUGCAAGUGGCCUGGUCUUUUGUUGGCUGGCAAGGAUUUUGUUUUCCAGAGAGGAGCCUUCACUCAUCUUGAGUGGGGGAGAAUGAGCCAGGGUCUGUGAGGCACACGGAGAUACUUGUCUGAAGGAUUCGACUCUUAGGAAAUCACAGCACAGAUGCCUGAAGCAGAGGGGAAACACCUGCAGCCGCUGCUGCCCUGCAGCCGUCUCUGUCCCUGGAAUCACCAAGAACACAGCCUUGGAAGUGGCAGUGUGUCUUCUUGAUCCUCUGAAGAGAGGCCCAGGACACCUGUUGCUGAGGGACCAGGGUGGCAGGGCCCCACUGGGCCUGUGUAGAAGGAGCCAAGGCAGUUAGUGGUUUCUCCCAGGAGCCUUCAUGCUAGGUUGGGAGUUCUGAACGGCUUGAUCCACAGCUCUGCUCAGGCAGAGAUGCGCUUCAACCACUAGGCCUAAAGCACACGUGGCCGCUGGAGCUCAUCUCAGCAACUGAGAGUGAAGGACCCUCCAGAGCCCCAGAAGACCCCCGCCCGGGGAGUGACAUCAGUUGGGGAGCUAUUAAUAACUGCCCUCCCCUCCCUGUCAUAUUUCCUGAACUGUGUGGGGAAGGCGAUUGUGAGGCGCUCUGCUGGAAUUUGGCAGCGCGGAGGCUUGGAGAGCAGCCCCAUGCUGGCUCCUAUUCAGCCGGCCAGUUUUCCUCGAGCUUUGGAAGUUUCACUCAGCCGUGCACUCAAUGGCUUCACAAAGCUGAUUACAAGCUUCAGCGCAUUCCUGAAGGAGCCAAAAGCGACGCAGGUGCAAACGAGCCGAGGGAGCCCCUUAUCCCGGUGACAGAAUGGGACAAGCUGGGAAAGGCUUGGACCACACAAAUCCAAGGCUCACCAGGCAGCAGAGAGCCUGCCUUGGGAACCGGGGGUCAUUAUCCGCCCUAUUCAGCGGGGCUCGGGACCCCGGGGCCAGGGAGGCCGGCCCAGCGCAAGCACCACAGUCAGUGUGCGCCCGCGGCAGUGGGGACCCCGCUGGGCGCUGCAGCCCAUCGGGAUGUUGGGCGCUGUGUUUGUUCCCACCGAUAGCGAUCCGUGAAAUCUAUCUUGCUCGUGAAAGCUGGUGUCCACGCUAAGGGGGAUACAGGAGAACCAAGGUGGCGAAGAUGCUUAACUUCGAUUAUCGAGGUUGCAUUGAGCUGUUCCUGCCGCAGGCCACUCUCAGCUCCCCACCUCCAAGUCCUGAAACCCACCCCACAACUCGUCUUCGUUUUUCCUGUCCUACGGAGAGCGACCUCCGCAAAGGGCGGUGGGAGGGACAGUGGCCAGUGACCGUGAAGGAAUGGAUCACCAGGUAGUCCUGUGCACCUAGCAGGGCAGUGGAGAAUAAGGAGCCACGUCUAGGGUAAUCAAAUAACAUUCCUGCCAGCGACGAAAGGACUACCGGCUGCGGGGACAGGCUGGCCCGGCGGCAUAGAGCUUGCGGAAGGGACUAGCGCGGGACCAACUGAAGUGAGACCGCUGGAGUUCAGAGGCGGGCUAAUCCCACCCCGUAGGCAGCCUCUUCCCACCGUGGCCAGUCUCCAUCGCAGUCACUUAUCUGGAAACCUGCGGCUGGAUUAAUCGCUAUAUUCCCAAGAUGAGCGGCGCGGCAAUCCGCAGUGUAACACGGAUGGGAACUCGGAAGCAUCAUCCCCCGGGGUCUCGCGGUGCCAGCAGCCGGUCAGCUCCCUGCAGAUCUGAAUGCGGCACCGUUGCUAGCACCUGUUUGGGCUCGGGUGGGGAUGAGCAGGCACAGAUGUGCGCAGAGGAUGUGGGAGAGAAGGCGACAGACCUGUGGGGACCCCGGCCUGGAAGAAACACAGAACUGCCUGUGGUUUAUUCCCGCUUUUGACUUGACAGAAAUGU
This is a non-coding RNA of Myodes glareolus (Bank vole), 2233 nucleotides long. Lineage: Eukaryota; Metazoa; Chordata; Mammalia; Rodentia; Cricetidae. The record is from RefSeq and is a predicted model, not a curated record.